This is a non-coding RNA of Ornithorhynchus anatinus (platypus), 138 nucleotides long. The record is from Rfam. NCBI's taxonomy places the organism in Eukaryota, Metazoa, Chordata, Mammalia, Monotremata, Ornithorhynchidae.
CCCUUCUCAGGGUCUCACCUGGAGAGUUUCCAGUAUUCUACCAGUCUCAGUUACGGGAAGGAGAGUCAAGCAGAGGCAUAUCCAUUCCUUUCUUAGCUUGGGCAGUGGCUAGCGAGUGGAAGACAAUCUGUUACAAGU